Molecule: long non-coding RNA, 352 nt
Filed under: Callithrix jacchus (white-tufted-ear marmoset)
Lineage: Eukaryota; Metazoa; Chordata; Mammalia; Primates; Cebidae
Description: lncRNA (ENSCJAG00000073964.1)
Source: RNAcentral
GUGAAGAAGGUCAGUGGUAGCUUGAUGGGAAUAGCAUUGAUACUAUAAAUUACUUUCAGCAGUAUGGCCAUUUUCAUGGUAUUGAUUCUUCCUAACCUGAUGUAGGUGGUGCGGGGAUGGAGAGAGCAAACCACUAUGGCAUGUGUGUACCUACACAACAAUCCUUUCAGAUCUGCACAUGUACCCCGGAACUUAAGCACCUGGUAACUUUCCAGACAGUGCUCCUGUUAAGCCUGGAAUGCUAUGGAGAAAUACACACAUGAGAAUCUCCAGUUUACCCAAGAUGAACAUGAAGAGUGAAAAAGAAAUGAUUUCUCUUGUUCAAAGCCCCUAGGAUGUGAGUAAAAAGAAA